AUGCUAGAGAAAGUGCCCAUGACCUGCACAUUGUGCUCUACAGAAUCAACAAGGAAAGAAAAGCUUGGACAAAAGGAAUGUGGAAGGCAACUCCCAAUCAUCUCUUUCAGAAACCAGAAGUUGGUUCUGUUUGAGUUCCACACAAAACAAUUCAAGGCCUCUUUGAUUUGUAGGAUUCCAGGGGAACAGGAAAAACGUAGAAUUGAAAUCCUAUCAAAUUGGAAAGAGAACUACAGAUGUUGCCGCCAAGUGCCAAUGAUCUCUAAUACUCCCUCCGUAAAGAAAUAUACAAGAAAACAGAAUUGUAGCAAGAGAUUUGGGUUGGUGGAAACUUCCCUCCGAAAAAGAGCUCAUAUAGAAUCCUUAGGACAAAUUCCUAAGGAUUCAAAUCCUGUGAACCAAAUGACCUCCACCAGAAAAGAUAAAAUAAAAAACUUAUGA
RNAcentral lists this ribosomal RNA (441 nucleotides) under Triticum aestivum (bread wheat). RNAcentral describes it as "partial small subunit ribosomal RNA". The record is from RNAcentral. Lineage: Eukaryota; Viridiplantae; Streptophyta; Magnoliopsida; Poales; Poaceae.